UCUAAAACGACUCUCGGCAACGGAUAUCUCGGCUCUUGCAUCGAUGAAGAACGUAGCGAAAUGCGAUACUUGGUGUGAAUUGCAGAAUCCCGUGAACCAUCGAGUCUUUGAACGCAAGUUGCGCCCGAAGCCAUUAGGCCGAGGGCACGCCUGCCUGGGUGUCACUAAA
RNAcentral lists this ribosomal RNA (169 nucleotides) under Diphysa racemosa. RNAcentral's name for it is "5.8S ribosomal RNA". It matches the Rfam family "5.8S ribosomal RNA". From Rfam's summary of the family: 5.8S ribosomal RNA (5.8S rRNA) is a component of the large subunit of the eukaryotic ribosome. It is transcribed by RNA polymerase I as part of the 45S precursor that also contains 18S and 28S rRNA. Lineage: Eukaryota; Viridiplantae; Streptophyta; Magnoliopsida; Fabales; Fabaceae. The record is from RNAcentral.